Molecule: ribosomal RNA, 403 nt
Filed under: bacterium
Lineage: Bacteria
Description: partial 16S ribosomal RNA
Rfam family: Bacterial small subunit ribosomal RNA
Source: RNAcentral
UGGGGAAUAUUGCACAAUGGAGGGAACUCUGAUGCAGCGACGCCGCGUGAACGAAGAAGGCUUUCGAGUCGUAAAGUUCUUUUAUAUGGGAAGAUAAUGACGGUACCAUAAGAAGAAGCCCCGGCUAACUACGUGCCAGCAGCCGCGGUAAUACGUAGGGGGCUAGCGUUGUCCGGAAUCACUGGGCGUAAAGGGUUCGCAGGCGGAAAUGCAAGUCAGGUGUAAAAGGCAGUAGCUUAACUACUGUAAGCAUUUGAAACUGCAUAUCUUGAGAAGAGUAGAGGUAAGUGGAAUUUUUAGUGUAGCGAUGAAAUGCGUAGAUAUUAAAAAGAAUACCGGUGGCGAAGGCGACUUACUGGGCUCAUUCUGACGCUGAGGAACGAAAGCGUGGGUAGCAAACAGG